This is a long non-coding RNA of Gorilla gorilla gorilla (western lowland gorilla), 1148 nucleotides long. RefSeq lists it as uncharacterized. The transcript has 4 exons. The record is from RefSeq and is a predicted model, not a curated record. Lineage: Eukaryota; Metazoa; Chordata; Mammalia; Primates; Hominidae.
GUCCUGAAAGGGCCCUCAGAGAUGAUAUUAUUAAAAUAAUUUUAAAAAAUGACUAACAUCGAGCACUUCUUAUGUGUCAAACACUGAUUCCGUUAAUUCUCUUAUUAACCCUAGCAGCUAAGUCUCCAUUUUAUAGCCCCACUUUACAGAUGGUUAAACAGGCCCAGAAACGUUCUCUAAUUCGCCAAAAUCACACAGUGGGAAUACAAAUUCAGCUCUGAUGCCUCUUCUGACACCAGGGCUUCCACUUAUUUACAGCCCCCUUAUUUUGCAAGUGAGAAAACUAAGAUCUGAGAAGCAGCUACGGAGUUAGUGGGCAACAAGUCAGGACCAGAAGCCAAGAGGACUUUGUCUGUGACCUCCAGGGACGUAAGAGCUUGUUAGUCCCAUCCGUCUGUUUGGACACAGAUCUAGCCAGACUUGUUUAUCGUUUACAGCUCAUUAUAGAAGACCUGGAUCCCUCCCCCCGCCCCCUGAUGCCUUCAAACCUGCAUUUCCAGACUUCUAAUGGGGAGAGAAAAAGUAACCUUACAGACGGGGUUUCGCCAUGUUGGCCAGGCUGGCCUCGAACUCCUGACCCCAAGUGAUGUGCCCACCUCCGCCUGCCAAAGUGUUGGGAUUACAGGCUUGAGCCACUGCGCCCGGCCCAGAGACACUAAAUGCCUUACACAACAUCAGGAGUGUCCAGAUAUAUUCAGAAGCCAUCCUGGGCCACAAGCUCCAAGCACAUCGGAAGAUCACCCAGCCAGGGGACAGCCACAGCAGCAGCAUUUGAACCAGAGACUCCAAGGUUUUUCUCCUGGCUCAUGAAUGCUGGCCCACAGCUCUAUCCUUGGCGACGCGAAUCAUGCCCGCUGCACACUGCCCCCUCUCCCAGGCCCAGCCUGACUCUUCUCCGCCAAGCACACCAAGCACACUCCCGCUCCAGGACCUUUGCAGUGGCUCUUCUGCUUGCAAGUCUUCUCCCCACAACCACGUGGCUCAUUACCUCCUUUUCUUUGCCAAAAGAACUGCCCCAGCAAAGAGGCCUUUCCUAACAACUUUAUGUAAAACAACACCUCGUCCCUUCAUGCUUUGUCUGUAAUGUGCUUUUUUUCUUCAUAGCACUAAUCACCACCUCACAUCAUUUAUAUUUAUUUGUUCACUUA